CUGGAGAUUUUUAAAAGGUGGCUCUCUCUCUCUCUCUCUCUGUGAAAUUCUUCCAAUUUCCAUUAUGUUUCACUGUGAUUAUUGGAGAGGUUAAAGAAUUGUAUAACUAUUGUGUUGUAGACUUGAAAGAAAGGUUUCAAUCUGUUAUUUUUUAGUGUGGUGCACUAGUUUAGCUGUGUUAGUUCUUGUCAAGUUUAGGGUUGAUUCUUAUAUCUGGUUCUUGAGAUCUUUAUGUGAUCUAUGAUUAGAACCUUAAGAAAAAGUCAGAUUGGUUCCUUUGUACAUUGAUCUCUUUGGAAGGCUGGUUUUACAUAGUGGAUUGGGCUGAUCCUGAGCCCCCCAGAUUAGCCCUUAUUUGGGUGAACUGGGUGACCAUUUUUUGGUGUUCUUAUUCUUUACAUUUUCUGCAUUUUAUUUACUGUUUGAGAUGUUGUGAUUUUUGCCAAAUGAUAGAUGUUUUUGGUUUGACUGAGUGGCUGAAACUAAAAGAUCAUUGAGGUAAAAUCAAAUCUGGGGCCAAUAAUCCCAACAGAUUUCCAUUUCUAGGAAAAUGAAAUUGAAGAGUGGAUUUAAGAGAUUAUCCAUAUUUUGUUGUUGCUUUUUGUUUGCAGAUUGAAAGCCAAUCUGCAGUUGACACAUAGUUGAAAUGAGAUGCUGAGCUAUCAUUGUUGAGCUUGGAUAUUCUCAGUUUUUGAGUUUGUUUUUGUUUUUGUUUGUAUAACAUAGGACAUGGGUGUGUGGUUACGGUUGUUUGAGUAAUAUAAUUAAAUCCUUGAAGAUUGUUCUUUAAAUAUCUUUUCAAUUGCUUAUUUGUACGAAAAUAACAUUUUAGUAAGAGACUUGCUAGAAAAACAGAGAGUCUGACGGGCCCCCUGACCGACCCCACCCAUGGCGGGACUGGGGCCUGUUAGCCCUGUUUAUCUAGCAAAUUUCUUUUAGUGAUCGUGUGUUAUUCUUCUUUACACUUCCGCUUGCAUAAUUUUGCCUACUACUUGUCUGAAUUUUUCUGGUACCUAGACUCAGCAUGUUGACCUUAAUUGACACUGUUCACUUUCGAUUGUAAAUGUAUUAUCAAACAAAUUAGGGUGUAUUUGAUGACAAUGAUCGUAGUUAAAGCGGAUGUUGUGAACAAUGGAACAAUGAAGUUGGAUGAAGAAUUAUGAAGACUCUGGAGAAAAAUGGAAAGCUGGAAUUCAAAAUGUGGUAGACUUAAGAGCAAAAACAUGUUCUUGUACAAGUUAUGUUAAGGUGUGAAUAUAAUUAUCCAUUUAAAAAGUAGAAAUGGGAUAAAAUGACAGUUUUUUGCUCUUUUAAUUAUUUUUACUCGUCA
This 1330-nucleotide long non-coding RNA is filed under the name Olea europaea subsp. europaea. The record is from RNAcentral. Lineage: Eukaryota; Viridiplantae; Streptophyta; Magnoliopsida; Lamiales; Oleaceae.